AAGAAUAAUAUUUAUUAACUUUUAAAAAUCUUCACUAGUUCUACAGCACUAAGAAACACAUAGUAGACUCAUUUUUUACGGUGAAAAAAAUAAAUAAAUAUAAUAAAAGAGUAUAGACAACGACACAAUGAAAAGCAGAGAGGCAAAUGUUUUCACUUUGGAUCUUAUGCGGGUAUCUCAAAAUUUAGGUCUGAAAUUGUAUGGGUGGUAUGACAUCCUAAACUGAGUACUCCAAAAUAUCGAACUAACGGUGAAAAAUGUAUAUUUAACUUUGUUUUAACAUUAACAACUUACACCUUAUACCAAGAAUUUAAGCUUAUAGCUACUGUCCAAAUGACAAUUCCCAAACUGACAGAUAAUAUUUGCAAAUAUCUUCUGAAUAAUUCAGUGCUGUCUUCUAAAAUUCUACUCUGCAUACAGCUGAUGGCCAUAACAUUUGUUAGCUCUAUGUGGAUUGAAUAACCUGUUUCUCUCAAAACUGAUAUCCACAGCAACAUUUUUUUUUCAACUGGAAUGAUACUUGUUCCAAAACUUCUGAAUAUUUUUUCAGCCCUGUGAGCACCGUACUCUCUCACAUGCAUUAAAAGACUGUCAUCAAGUUCAUGCAACUAAUACUUCAUAACCAACACCUGUCUGUGAAUAGUGGUAAAUUCUACAUUGGGCACACCAUCGACAAAGAGGAAAAAGCCUUAGUAGAGAUGUAGAUCAGAUGAAGUCAGGAAAAAAGCUGAGCCCAAUCGGAAUUCAAACUUCAAAUCUCUGAUUUACUGGUUAUUACUUGGACAUGUGAUUGAUUAAUAAAAUGAAAAAUAAAUAAAAAAGGCAGAAAAAUGGAAGGAUGAAAUACACAUAUGUAAUCAGAUCCUUCUCUGAAUUCCCACCUUUGCUACAUAACCAAAGUGGUCACUAUUUGUAAGUUAACAAGAUCAAGAAAACACAUGAAGUGCUGUAGUUAUAAAACUGUUAUUUAUUUCAUACAGAAUGUGAGUGUUUUAGUUGUUAACAUGUUACACAGGUAAGACACCACUCCUAUUUCCUUUUUGGGAAAAAGUGUCAUUAAGAAGCGGAGAAUCAAUAAAUCCAGUUUAGAUUCAUCAUGAGGUAUGCAAUUUCUGUUUCCUGAACUUGUUAUUAUGACAACCCCCCUCCUACUGGCUUGUGUGCUGGUAUGAGACAUCCUUUGGCAAAGGAAGGAGAUAUUGUGCAGUCCUGAGACAAGAGUUCUCCUUUGGCAGGCAAGAAAAGAACACCAGCAUGCUAGUCCCAUUUGGGUACAUAUGGUUAUAACGCAGCCAUAACACAUGUAUCUACAUUAAGCACACACACAUUGGUAACGCACAAAUGCCAUACUGAUCUGUUGACUACGUGUUGGUGAUUAUAGACCCUCGUGGAGUCGUGCUACAUUGCAUAUACACUGCAGUGACACCUUCAAAUGGAAACUUUUUGAUCACCUCUUACAAGCUGUCUCAAUGACCUGGACAUUUAAAUAUAAUCUUGUCAUUGUGACUCUGAUGUGCAACCACAAUUACCUGUAAACCAAUGUAUUUUGAAACCUCUGUAUGACUUUAAAAAAUAAUAGCAGUAAUAAUUAUGACAACAAUAGAGUUCAUUUUAAAACUAUAACAUCAGAAAUUUUCAGUUAAAAAAAGUAACUGUAAACAAUGCGACUAAACUAAUGGUCAGUAUGAGUGAGAUUUCAUAACUAGGGGGGCAUGUCAAAAAAAAACACCAUUACAUUUUAUUGUCAAGAACACAAAACUGCUACGCGAAACUUCAUUAUAUAAAAAUUAACAGACAUUGUAGAAUUGUGACUUAAAAACUUUAACUACUUUGCAUCAUAAUGGUACCAACUUACCACAACUGUGGCAACAGAGGGAAGGAACUAGAAGGGGGUGGCAUGUUAUCAGUGAUCUACUUUAUUACCCUAUUUACGUUACCAAUAAAUAUGUAAGCGAGCCUGCUGAAUUCAGUGUGACAGCACACAUUCCACUGUCAAGACAAAAAAAUGUCUCGAGAAAUACCGAUGACUAAAUUUUUCUUGAGAAAACGUGCUAAUAUAUUUCCCUCCAUUGUUAAAUGUCAGUAUUAUUUAUUAAUGAAAAAAAAAAAAGCUGAUAAACUAUUGGGACUAACAGCUCUUAAGGACCACACUCACCCAAGGUACAGUUAAUACCAAAAAAAAGAGGGUAACCAUCUAGAAAUCAAUAACGAAAAAUACACUGAGUUGUGAUCAGAAUAAAUUGUUAUUUUUUUGUAGGUAAUGUGUAGUUUUUAUUAUGAUUUAAAUCUACUUAAUGGUGUGGAAAGCAAAGUUUUUUCGAUUGUGGGCAAGAUAAAAAAUUGCCAAUAAUCAAAACAUUUUAACCACAAAAUGUUUUGAGAUUUUCGAAGUUAAAAUGCUUAAUCACAAUAAAAAUAUUCAAUGAUACUUUGCCCCACUGCGUAAAAACAAAACCAACGCAACCAUAAAACCUUUUCUUUUCCUUUCAUUUGCAUGUAGUGAAUUGUCCUUUACACCACCACCACCACCUCCUAGAAAUCCAUUAACUAUUUGAGAUGCAAGGAAAAUUAGUAGAUUAGAACUUCAGUGUCUCCAGUGAUCAGGGCCGAGUGGUGACGUGCGCAACAUUUCUCACUACGCAACGGGAAGUUGUGAUUGUGCUGAAUGAUGUAAUUCGUACAUUCCCUUGCCGUACCUCCCAUUGAAUUACAAAAUUGAAAAAUUUUGCUAAGCUUGUGUCGCUGAACCUCAGAUCUUUACAAAUAAUAAGUAUUCGUACAAUUCAAAACAUUUUUUUCCAGUCAUGACAGAACGAUAAGAUUCCGAGAAACAUAUAGGUACUGAAAUGAGAAAUAAUUGAAACCUAUAAUAAAUAUAAUGCACUAUGUUUUUCGUUUUAAGCUACAAAUUUGGCAGCAACUAGAGAGAGAUCAGUAAUACUGAAAUUCUAAAUUAGCGUAUAUUCGAAGCUUAGUCUCUCUGCGAAAUCUGUUGUGAUACUGCGAAGAAUUGAUUUUCAGUGAAGAAUAUGGACAUCCUUCGAGGCCCUAUAGACAAGUUUUACGUAAAAUUUGGCAGAGUCUACUACUUCGAGGGCUCCGGUGACCGUGUACGGAUUCUAACAUAUUGCCAGCGAAUCUAAAUGUCUCCGACGCUAGUAUUAUAAAAACAUCCCCACGUUUCACAGUACCAUAAAUCUUGAAGUGCGAGGAACACUUAAUAACUGUAGCGUUUGUCCAUAGAAACAGUACAUUUUCUGAAACAGAGAAUACACAAUAAGGAAGUACAGCAAUUCCUUGCGGCAUGUUUUUUCGUCGGUAAAGCUGUAGGACGAAAACCGCAGAGUGUUGCUUUACAUUUUGUAUUAUCAUUCUUUUUUUCACUCUGGAUAGUGAAAGACAUUUUGAAAACAAAUUUGCAUACACUCAAUGUAUGUCUUCGAAAAAACAAAAUUUGUAUACACUCAAUGUAUAUCUUCGAAAAGCCUGACAACAAGGCAGUCUAUAUCAAACUGCAUCUGCAACGUGGUGACGUCUUCACAUUGCGAAACCAUGCAGUUACGCGACGAAGUGCCGUGCGGAAAACCGUGUGCACCAAUAGCUUCAAUAUAAAUCCUCAGAUGGCGCCACGAACUUAUCUACUUCGCGCAGACGUUACCCAAGAUGCUGUGGACGAAGCGGGAAGAUACAAAGGAAUCGAAAUCGUCAGAUAAGCUGACAAACCAGAAGCGGACAACAUCUACAUGUUGCAAACCAUCAUCAAAAAGCGAAUGCUGCCAAUCGUGCAAACCUCCAUGCAAGUGUAGGAGGAUUGUAAUACGACCACUCAUGUUUUCAUAUUACACAGAUUUGAUGCAUUAAACCAAAAAUUAUGUUUCAUUAUGUGCUGUAUAAUUUUCUACAGAUAAUAUGAAACUUAAAGAAUAUAAAGAAUUAAUAAUUCAUCA
This is a long non-coding RNA of Schistocerca gregaria, 3947 nucleotides long. RefSeq lists it as uncharacterized. The transcript is spliced from 2 exons. The record is from RefSeq and is a predicted model, not a curated record. Lineage: Eukaryota; Metazoa; Arthropoda; Insecta; Orthoptera; Acrididae.